CCAAAAGCGUAUAUUAAAGUUGUUGCAGUUAAAAAGCUCGUAGUUGAAGUUCUGGCUGUAUUGGGCCUCUGCACUUGAUGCGGAGGAACCAGCAGUCAUCCGCUUGCAAAUACAUGUCCUCCUUAACCGGUAGGCUGUAUAAGUAAGCACUUUACCUUGAGAAAAACAGAGUGUUCCAGGCAGGUUUUGUCCGGAAUGCGUUAGCAUGGAAUAAUAGAAUAUGACUGAAGUCGAUUUUAUUGGUUUAAGGCUUUAGUAAUGAUUAAUAGGAACAAUCGGGGGCAUUGGUACUUGUCAGUCAGAGGUGAAAUUCUAGGAUUUGACAAAGACUAACUGAUGCGAAAGCGUUUGCCAAGAAUGUUUUCAUUAAUCAAGAACGAAAGUUAGGGGAUCAAAGACGAUCAGAUACCGUCCUAGUCUUAACUAUAAACUAUACCGACUCGGAUUCAGAUGAAUUUUAAAGUUCAUUUGGGACCGUAGGAGAAAUCAAAGUCUUUGGGUUCUGGGGGGG
RNAcentral lists this ribosomal RNA (511 nucleotides) under uncultured eukaryote. RNAcentral describes it as "SSU rRNA". It matches the Rfam family "Eukaryotic small subunit ribosomal RNA", at positions 591 to 1122 of the family's 1831-position model. The record is from RNAcentral.